UACGUAGGGUCCGAGCGUUGUCCGGAAUUAUUGGGCGUAAAGGGCUCGUAGGCGGUUUGUCGCGUCGGGAGUGAAAACCAGGUGCUUAACACCUGGCCUGCUUUCGAUACGGGCAGACUAGAGGCAUUCAGGGGAGAACGGAAUUCCUGGUGUAGCGGUGAAAUGCGCAGAUAUCAGGAGGAACACCGGUGGCGAAGGCGGUUCUCUGGGAAUGUCCUGACGCUGAGGAGCGAAAGCGUGGGGAGCGAACAGG
This 253-nucleotide ribosomal RNA is filed under the name uncultured bacterium. RNAcentral's name for it is "partial 16S ribosomal RNA". It matches the Rfam family "Bacterial small subunit ribosomal RNA", at positions 524 to 776 of the family's 1533-position model. The record is from RNAcentral.